This 274-nucleotide ribosomal RNA is filed under the name uncultured bacterium. Its description in RNAcentral is "partial 16S ribosomal RNA". It matches the Rfam family "Bacterial small subunit ribosomal RNA", at positions 523 to 796 of the family's 1533-position model. The record is from RNAcentral.
AUACGGAGGGUGCAAGCGUUACUCGGAAUCACUGGGCGUAAAGCGCGCGCAGGCGGUCUUUUAAGUUGGAUGUGAAAGCCUACGGCUCAACCGUAGAACUGCAUCCAAAACUAUUAGACUAGAGUGUGGGAGAGGAAGAUGGAAUUAGUUGUGUAGGGGUAAAAUCCGUAGAGAUAACUAGGAAUACCAAAAGCGAAGGCAAUCUUCUGGAACACUACUGACGCUGAGGCGCGAAGGCGUGGGGAGCAAACAGGAUUAGAAACCCUAGUAGUCC